RNAcentral lists this ribosomal RNA (253 nucleotides) under uncultured bacterium. RNAcentral's name for it is "partial 16S ribosomal RNA". It matches the Rfam family "Bacterial small subunit ribosomal RNA", at positions 524 to 776 of the family's 1533-position model. The record is from RNAcentral.
UACGGAGGGUGAAAGCGUUGUUCGGAAUCAUUGGGCGUAAAGAGCGCGUAGGCGGUAGGGUAUGUCUGAUGUGAAAGUCCAGAGCUCAACUCUGGAAGUGCAUUGGAAACUGCUCUACUUGAGUCCCGGAGGGGAUGGCAGAAUUCCUGGUGUAGAGGUGAAAUUCGUAGAUAUCAGGAGGAAUACCUGUGGCGAAGGCGGCCAUCUGGACGGUGACUGACGCUGAGGCGCGAAAGCGUGGGGAGCAAACAGG